This 540-nucleotide ribosomal RNA is filed under the name uncultured bacterium. Its description in RNAcentral is "bacterial SSU rRNA". It matches the Rfam family "Bacterial small subunit ribosomal RNA", at positions 767 to 1308 of the family's 1533-position model. The record is from RNAcentral.
AGCUAAUAGAUACCCGGGUAGUCCACGCCCUAAACGAUGUCUACUAGUUGUUGGUGGAGUAAAAUCCAUGAGUAAACGCAGCUAAACGCGUGAAGUAGACCGCCUGGGGAGUACGGUCGCAAGAUUAAAACUCAAAGGAAUUGACGGGGGCCCGCACAAGCGGUGGAUUAUGUGGAUUAAAUUCGAUGCAACGCGAAAAACCUUACCUGGCCUUGACAUGCCACUAACGAAGCAGAGAUGCAUUAGGUGCCCGUAAGGGAAAGUGGACACAGGUGCUGCAUGGCUGUCGUCGGCUCGUGUCGUGAGAUGUUGGGUUAAGUCCCGCAACGAGCGCAACCCUUGCCGUUAAUUGCCAUCAUUUAGUUGGGCACUUUAAUGGGACUGCCGGUGACAAACCGGAGGAAGGUGGGGAUGACGUCAAGUCCUCAUGGCCCUUAUGGCCAGGGCUUCACACGUAAUACAAUGGUCGGUACAGAGAGUUGCCAACCCGCGAGGGGAGCUAAUCUCAGAAAGCCGAUCGUAGUCCGGAUUGUUCUCUGC